RNAcentral lists this long non-coding RNA (1523 nucleotides) under Brassica rapa (field mustard). Its description in RNAcentral is "long non-coding RNA (BRAP_LNC005818)". The record is from RNAcentral. Lineage: Eukaryota; Viridiplantae; Streptophyta; Magnoliopsida; Brassicales; Brassicaceae.
AAAACUAAUAUUCUAAAAUUAAGCCUAGAAAACAUUCUAGAAACUAUAAAAGUUUUAGAAGUCGUGAAAAUUCAUGGAAAAAACCCCAAAACAAAUUCUCUUCAAAGGAAACCCCAGCCAAAAAACCUUUCUAUAAAGAUCUUACAUGCUUCAAAUGCAAUAAGAAAGGUCACACUUCAAAGUUUUAUCGUUUUAAUCGCAAAAUCCAGGAACUAAACCUGGAGAAGAAAUUUCAAGUAAAAUAUAUAAUCUUUUACUAAAUGAUUCCUCUUCGUCAUAUGACUCUGACUCAUCCGUGGCUUCUGAAAAGGCCCUUCAGGAUGAUGAACUAAAUAUUUCAUCUUCUAGUUCAGAGUCAAAUGAAAAGAAUAUCUAUGUCCUCACUAAAGAUCAAGAAUUACAACUUGAAAUAUUAAAUUCCAUUUCUGAUCCAAGCCUAAAACAUAAAUUUCUUGAGAAAAUCAUUUCCUCUUUAAACGAAAAAGAUGUUAAAAACAUAGAUAAUUCCCCAAAAUCUCAUGGUCCAAGUUCCUACAAAUCCUCUUAUGAUCUCAACAAAAGAAAGAAAGACACCUCGAAAACAACAAUACAAGAUAUUAGAAUUGAAAUCAAAGAAGUAAAAAAUGAUCUAAAAAUCCUCAAAGAAAAAAAAGACAAGAUUCUGAAUAUUUUCACUCGAUCAUAUCUUCCAUCAAAGAUCCUCAUGAUUCUAGUUAGGAAGAACAAGAAAAUGAUUGCUUAAAUAAUAAAGAUGAAAAUAUCAAAGAACAAAUUCAAUCUCUAGAUAUGGCCCCUAAUGAUUUCCUUUUCGUUCUACGAGAAAUAACCUCUCGAAAAUAUAAAAUUAGAGUUACCAUUGUUUUUUCAAAGUACAAAAUGGACACAAUUGCUUUGUUCGACACUGGUGCAGAUCUUAACUGUAUCAAGUCUGGGCUUGUUCCAAAAUGUUUUCAUCUAGAAACUAAAAAACUAUCUGCUGCAAAUAACUCUAAACUUCGUAUAACAUCUAAAGCAGAAGCUUUAAUAUUAAAAGAAAAUAUUCUUAUUAAAACUGCAUUCGUCUCACAGAUGAUAUAUAGCAAAAUGUUAAUUAGGAACACCAUUUAUUAAUUUGAUCACACCAUAUAAAGUUAUGGAUGAUAAAAUUUCCUUUAAAAAUCAAAACAUAAAAUUAUCUUUUAAAUUUCUCGAAACACCAAAAAAGCGAAGUCUAAACUUAAUAAAAUCUUGUUCAAUACAAGAAAACUUUCUAAACUCUUUAAUCCAUAGUAAAACCUUUUCCACCUGGAACAUUUAAAAUCAGAAGUUUUACUUCAAAAGACCUUAGAAACCUUAAAUUCAAAAGAUAUAAAAGAGAAAAUUUCGAACUUAAAUAAAUUAUUUGAGAAAGAAAUUUGUUCAGAUUAACCAACUGAUUUUUGGAAUCGAAAACAACAUAUUGUUGAUUUACCUUAUGAUGAAAAUUUUCUUGAAAAAGAGAUUCCCACAAAAGCUCGUCCAAAUCAAAUGAACUCAGAAUUAGA